GUAAAUAUGGCGGCGUUCGGUUUGGAGUGACGUAGGUGGCAUCUAUGAAUAGCCUAGUAACAUGUUUCAUUUUGGCAAGACUGCUUGUCCUUUAAUUCAACCCUUUUGACUUGAUAUCUAUCAUUGUCUAGACUUGUCUGACUUCUAAUGGGCGUAGGUUAUAAAAGUGUGUAAAAUCAACCUUGUAUCACAUUCGCCUACUGACAGCUCAUCAUGGCAUCCGCAUCCAAGAGAAUCAAACUGGACGAGGACGACACGUGUGUAACCGGAUACUUACACAACGUGUCCAUAAUUAUAUAAUCAGCAUUUAAAAAACAGAUAUUGCAGAUUGACAACUACCACCAAGUUGCCGUUUUUUGCGUUGAAAAAAGAGAUCUUUUCAUCCGAGCGCAAAAACUGUGAAUCGUCAGUUAAAUUGACUGGAAUUACAAAAUAACCAAAUCGUUCAGGUGAGGGCUUGGACAUAAUAUGUGGAAGAAGAACACGCCUGACGGUGGUCAACGACCUGCAGUUUGACUACAGAGACCCUCCAAAUAAAUCUAAACGGACCGUGGAGGAGGAUAAAAAAUGUCCCAAAAGCAACAUGCAGAAGAGCAGACAGAGUCCAGAUUACAACGAAGAGAACUUUUACUAUCAAUAUAUAUCACAAGAAUACAGGUAGGAGCAACACAAGGUAACAUGCAACAUCGACCGACCAAGACUGAAUGGAACUGAACUGAACUAAAUACACAGAGGAAUUAAGCUAAAUGGGGUGAAAACAGGUGAAACAGAUGAACAA
Molecule: non-coding RNA, 778 nt
Organism: Pimephales promelas (fathead minnow)
Lineage: Eukaryota; Metazoa; Chordata; Actinopteri; Cypriniformes; Leuciscidae
Source: RefSeq, a predicted model, not a curated record